GUGGGUACAGUUCAGUGGUUGAGUGCAUGCUUAGGAUACAUGAGGUCUGGGUUCAAUCCCCAGUACCUCCA
This 71-nucleotide transfer RNA is filed under the name Camelus bactrianus (Bactrian camel). It matches the Rfam family "tRNA". From Rfam's summary of the family: Transfer RNA (tRNA) molecules are approximately 80 nucleotides in length. Their secondary structure includes four short double-helical elements and three loops (D, anti-codon, and T loops). Further hydrogen bonds mediate the characteristic L-shaped molecular structure. tRNAs have two regions of fundamental functional importance: the anti-codon, which is responsible for specific mRNA codon recognition, and the 3' end, to which the tRNAs corresponding amino acid is attached (by aminoacyl-tRNA synthetases). tRNAs cope with the degeneracy of the genetic code in two manners: having more than one tRNA (with a specific anti-codon) for a particular amino acid; and 'wobble' base-pairing, i.e. permitting non-standard base-pairing at the 3rd anti-codon position. The record is from Rfam by way of RNAcentral. Lineage: Eukaryota; Metazoa; Chordata; Mammalia; Artiodactyla; Camelidae. RNAcentral also lists the same sequence under 2 other names.